This 253-nucleotide ribosomal RNA is filed under the name uncultured bacterium. RNAcentral's name for it is "partial 16S ribosomal RNA". It matches the Rfam family "Bacterial small subunit ribosomal RNA", at positions 524 to 776 of the family's 1533-position model. The record is from RNAcentral.
UACGUAGGGUGCAAGCGUUAAUCGGAAUUACUGGGCGUAAAGCGUGCGCAGGCGGUUUUGUAAGUUUGUCGUGAAAUCCCCGGGCUCAACCUGGGAACUGCAUUUGUGACUGCAAGGCUAGAGUACGGCAGAGGGGGAUGGAAUUCCGCGUGUAGCAGUGAAAUGCGUAGAUAUGCGGAGGAACACCAAUGGCGAAGGCAAUCCCCUGGGCCUGUACUGACGCUCAUGCACGAAAGCGUGGGGAGCAAACAGG